This 802-nucleotide ribosomal RNA is filed under the name uncultured Chloroflexota bacterium. Its description in RNAcentral is "SSU rRNA". It matches the Rfam family "Bacterial small subunit ribosomal RNA", at positions 22 to 850 of the family's 1533-position model. The record is from RNAcentral. Lineage: Bacteria; Bacillati; Chloroflexota.
GCUCAGGGUGAACGCUGGCGGCGUGCCUAAUGCAUGCAAGUUGAGCGAUCCACUUCGGUGGAGAGCAGCGAASGGCUGAGGAACGCGUAGGUGACCUGCCCUUUGGUGGGGGACAACUCCGGGAAACCGGGGCUGAUACCGCAUAARUUCUUCUGGCUGCGGCCAGAAGAGGAAAGUCGCAAGACGCCGAAGGAGGGGCCUGCGUCCCAUCAGGUAGUUGGUGGGGUAAUAGCCCACCAAGCCGACGACGGGUAGCUGGUCUGAGAGGACGAUCAGCCAGAGGGGGACUGASACACGGCCCCCACUCCUACGGGAGGCAGCAGCAGGGGAUCUUGGGCAAUGGGCGAAAGCCUGACCCAGCGACGCCGCGUGGGGGAUGAAGGCCUUCGGGUCGUAAACUCCUUUUCCAGGGGACGAUAAUGACGGUACCUUGGGAAGAAGCCCCGGCUAACUACGUGCCAGCAGCCGCGGUAAAACGUAGGGGGCGAGCGUUACCCGGAAUCAUUGGGCGUAAAGGGCAUGUAGGCGGUUCGGUCCGUCGUUGGUGAAAGGCCCCAGCUUAACUGGGGAGCCGCUAACGAUACCACCAGACUAGAGGGCAGCAGAGGUGAGUGGAAUUCCCGGCGUAGCGUUGAUAUGCGUAKAGUUCGGGAGGAACACCAGUGGCGAAGGCGACUCACUGGGCUGUCCCUGACGCUAAGGUGCGAAAGCGUGGGGAGCAAACAGGAUUAGAUACCCUGGUAGUCCACGCCCUAAACGAUGGAUACUAGGUAUGGGGGGUAUCGACCCCCUCCGUGCCGGA